Molecule: small nucleolar RNA, 78 nt
Organism: Ailuropoda melanoleuca (giant panda)
Lineage: Eukaryota; Metazoa; Chordata; Mammalia; Carnivora; Ursidae
Source: Ensembl
UGGACCGAUGAUGACGACUGGUGGCGUAUGAGUCAUGGAUGAUGAUGAAUGACAUGUGUCUGAAACUCUGAGGUCCAU